Molecule: ribosomal RNA, 776 nt
Filed under: uncultured Neocallimastigales
Lineage: Eukaryota; Fungi; Neocallimastigomycota; Neocallimastigomycetes; Neocallimastigales
Description: partial large subunit ribosomal RNA
Rfam family: Eukaryotic large subunit ribosomal RNA
Source: RNAcentral
AUCACUACGCUAGAUGCAUAUCAAUAAGCGGAGGAAAAGAAACUAACAAGGAUUCCCUUAGUAACGGCGAGUGAAGCGGGAAGAGCUCAAAUUUGAAAUCUUCAAGGUUUUACCUUGACGAAUUGUAGUUUAAAGAAGUGUUUUCUGUUGAAGUUUUGGUAAAAGUUCUUUGGAAUAGGACAUCAUAGAGGGUGAGAAGUCCCGUAUUUGACCAUUAUUUUCAGCUGUGUGAUACACUUUCAAAGAGUCGGAUUGUUUGGGAAUGCAGUCCAAAAUGGGUGGUAAAUUUCAUCUAAAGCUAAAUAUUGGCGAGAGACCGAUAGCGAACAAGUACCGUGAGGGAAAGAUGAAAAGAACUUUGAAAAGAGAGUUAAACAGUACGUGAAAUUGUCAAAAGGGAAGCGUUUGACACCAGUGUUGUUUUCUCGAAAAUCAAUUAAAAAAAGUUGGAUUUUGUGUUGUAUUGACCUUAACAGCUUUCUGCACUCUUUUCCUGCUUUUUUUAAUGCACUUUUCGUUUAACAAGUCAACAUCAGUUUCUUUUGUUGUAAAAGGGUCAUUGGAAGGUAGCUUUCUUUUCGGAGAAAGUGUUUAUAGCCUUUGAUCUCUGCAAUCGGAGAGACUGAGGUCUGCAGCGUAGAUCCUUCGGGGCUAGAUACAUUUGUGCUAAGUUAUAACAUUUUAUAGACAACUUGUUGACUAUGAUUUAGUCAUUGUAGCUUACUCGCUUAUGUUAUUUUACCUACGCUUAGGAUGUUGACGCAUGAGAUAUACGC